CUCUUCCGAUCUACGAUUCUCAUAUUUAGCGAUGGUUGCGGCUCUGGUGUGUUGAUCCUUUGGGGUCUUAGCACGACUACUACCACACCGUCCACUACCACAAGCAAUCAUUUGGCAAGAUCUGCCCGGCUCCGGUGAUGGAGAGGCAAGAACGAGGGCCUACCUUCGGCUCGUUCUGGUGCGUUUUGCUAUCGCUAGGUGGUCCAAGGACCUACUUGUAAUUCUUAUUACUUUAGAACUCUUUGUACUGCUGUUGAUUAUUAUUAAUAGAUCUCUGAUCCUUUUCGCAGAAAAAUAAAAAAUAUAAUAAAUAUGGCUAACUACUCCUCUUUCGCCCCAAAGGCUUCCACCCGAUAGAAAAAAAAUAGGCUCAUGCCCUAGCCGCAAACCAGCGCAUCCUCCGGAUCCCUACUUCUUUUACGUUUGGUGAUAUAGUAGGUCUUCAAACAUUAGGUUUGGUUAACCGACAGCGGCGCCAUGCAUGGUGGUGAUGGCGGCACCAUGCGGGUCAAGAAUAUGGUUUUUUUGACUCCUUGUCCACCUCGUCGACGAUGAUCCUGCAGGUGGCGUUGAGGAGUGCGAGACGGUUGGUUGCUAUUCUUCUAGAGUGAUGGAUCUAUUUUGUGUUUGUGCUUUGCAGGUCAUCCACGCGUAUCGGUUUAUUGGUUCCUUUUCCGAUCGAUGAGACUCCGCCAGUUUCGACCUCAUCAUGGAAUUAAUGCGGCCAGGUCUUCCAGCCCUCUUCAUCGUUUUCUUCUCUGGGACGAUGGUCUGUUUCUCGGAUCACUGUCGCCAACUUCUUCUGGUUCUGACCGGCGACUUCCCGACUGCCACGCCGACAACAAUUUCCUGGCUUUGACAUGGUUCGAAAGUCCAAAGGCAGCAUUGAACUUCGCUCAAGGCGCGCUACCGGCGAGUACGUGCAGAGGAAGACAACGACGUUUACGUACAAGAACUUGCGUGAAAUUUUUUUUUACUUUAAAAAUUGUUCUGUAAGGAUUGGUUGAUUUUAAUAUAUGACCUUGGCCUUCUCGCAAAAAAAAACUACUCCUGUUUUCAAAUUUAAUAUAAAUGUUCUUAUUUUAUAUGAUGUCAAAAUUUUCAAACUCUGAUCAAAUUGAUGGAAAAACUACACACAUCUACACCUCGAAAUUAGUUUCAUUAAAUCCGUGAUAUAUAUCUUCAUACUAUGUUUAUUUAUAUUAUAAAUAUUGGUAUUUUUAUAAUAUUGGUCAAACCUUUAAAAGUUUAACUAAAGAGAAAAAAAAAGAAAAGGAGAAGCUGCAACAUUAAUUAAUCGGUUUCGCGGCAUCUUAUUCUAAGAUACCUUUGCACUGAAGCCACUCAUUGUAGAAAGGAACCGAGGAGUUUUUAUGGACCUUGGUCUAGCUAUUGUAAAUUGGAUCAUAUUUACAGUUAGGGAUGUAAGCGGUUAUGUCUCACUUCUAGUUCAUAAAGAAUUUGUUAGUUCAGAAUUUUGGCUCAAAAUUUGAGCUAAACUUUUAGAAUUGGCUUAGAAGUGGGAUAUUGGUCGAUCCCGCUUGACGCCCUGGCUACAGUUUUUGUGAUCUGACCUGAAGUAGGCACUACCUAGGGUAAUUUGUCCUAAUAAAAUACAAGUCCUAAUAGACCUAAGUGGGAAUAAGAAAAUAUAGACCACAUGGUACAUUGUUUAUCACUAGUAACACGUCGACCGACUGACCGAGACUGAUUGACAAGCUGAUAAUGCAUGGGUAUAUGUAUAUUCUUGAUUAAGUAACUGUAGUGUUUCAUUUGCGGAUUUUCCUCACACAAAAAAGAAGAAGAGAACUGGGGUUUUUUCGGGUGUGUUUGGUUUUGUACCGAAGCUAGUCAUGUCAAAAUAUUGUCAGCUCACGAUAAUUUGGUAUUGGUUUGUUUUGUUGUCAAAAUUUUGGUUGCUAAUGAAUAUCUCCAUUUCGCAUUUUCGGUCACAGAUGUUUGCCAAAUCUUUGUUCCCGUAUGGCCUCAAGAAUUGUUACCAAAAAAUCGCCCAGAUUUGAUAGGACUAGAUUAGCCAUUAACCAAACAACCCCUUCCUCAGUGCGGACGACGGGAAAAUUAAGCGCCUAUCUACGUGGCAUGCAACAUUUUCUAGCAUGCAUGUCAUCGGAGCUGCUUGAUUAGCCUUUUUUUGUCGCAACGUGUGGCUCACCACCAACAUCAUUUUUUACAUGAUUUCUUAUAGCAAAGCGAAAAUAUGGCCUUCCAGAAUUACGAACAAUGUCAAAAUAAACUUGUACGUCAGGAAUCAGGAACUUGGACUUAUGGGGAUGGAGAUAAACAUAAAACAUGUUGACACUGCGGCACGUUUAACUCAAUGCACGCGACAUCUAAACGCGGAUCGAUGGCACAUCAUUGGGUUGAUCCGUCCAUGUAAGAGCACCGCCCAAGGCCCACCUAGCAUGCCUCCGGGAGUCCGAGCGCUGCUAGUACUAUUCCCCCGUUACACAAAAACAACUCAUAAUUUUCAUUUGCUCCACGUCUCAUUUCUGUCUUGGCUCCUACACCCAACCAAUAACUACUCACGUCUCAUACUUUUAAUCCAAUAAGAAUGACCAGGCACAAGAACCAGAGCUAACUUCUUUGGUCAAAAUGCAUAAAUCUAUACAAACUGUUUUGUGGAACGGAGGAAAUACCUUUCCAGGAUGGCAAACAAGAGACGUGCAAUUUGAGAGUACUACUUCCUCCAUGCGUGUUUAUAGAGCUCUUUUACGGUAUCCCGGAAUAAAUAGGGACCGUCUAUCCAUCUCAAUCUAAUGGUCAGUUUUAUCCGGUACUCCAACACAAGUCUUAUGGAGUACAAGCUCUAAAAUCUAAGGAGUGCCUUGAUAUCAGGGGCAAAAACGUAAUCAACAAACCGAUUAAAUUUUCUGCUUCUACGUGUAGCUCACUUAGGAAAUAAUCUGGUGCGUGCUUAACAAUCAAAAUCAAACUAUAAUGCCCCUCGAUGUCAAACAAAUAAAUAAAGGCAAUAAAUUAUGUCGUCCCUUCACGAUCCAUUCUUUGAAGAACCCUAGAUUAAUCCUAAUCAACACGUAUGUUCUUCUCGGGAUGGCAGCUCCGGCGCUGGAGCUGCACAUGGCAGUGCAUUCACGCAGGUCAUCCGUUGGCAUGGCUGGCACUAGUCGGCCGUCGAUCGGCUUCUUGUCAGGCCUGAGCUUCUUGCAUCGACCAUGACUAUUUAUCUAAAUUUUGUGUUGCACUGUCGAUCAUCAAUAGUACGUCUUGCAUCUAUAUGUUCCAUUAUCGAUCAAAAUUUCUUGACUACUCAGAGUUAUCCCUUCAAUUAGGUGUACAUCUCCGUUGGAUGGAUUGAUCUGCACGCAUUUGAUCUGAUCGAUAGUUGCGUGAGUUCUUUCCAUGCUGGGCGGAGAAAAAGAUGUGUGGAUUGAAUUGGCUAGGUAGUUUAUGCAAUUGAAUAUGAUUGAUCUUUUCCUCGUUCGAUUCAUUGGUGCUGGGAGAACCAAAAUUUAUGGAAACAUUCUUCAGGAACUUUUCAUCGACUGCGAUGAGGCCUGAUUGAUAAUCCAUCACAUAGUUGCUCGUGGCGGCGGCUGUUUUCAGAAACUAGGCUGGCUUUUAGGUUAAGCAAAACAGAUAAAAUAAACUAUAAAAAGUCCAUAAUACCCUUGGAUAUCAAGGGCUGGUUUUAGAUGGUACUCCACACCACCCUAGGGGAGUGCCAAGGUACCGUAAAUUUUCUCUGUUUAUAAAGCAUGCACUUCCGAGUUUAGUACCCCCUCCGUCCCAAAAUAAGCACUUACACUUAUUUUUGGGAUGGAGGGAGUACAAUAGUUAAAUUAGAUGUUAGUUCUACCAUUGAAAUGUGGGUAUUGGACAUUGAAAACAUUUUUGGGAAAAUAAUCCUAAUUCUUAUGACAAAUAAUUCACAAAAAUUAUUUGCAUGAUAGUUAAAGUGAAAUUUUAAAAUAAGUAGGCGUCUUGAAACUCAGUAGGAGUGGUAUUGGCAUAAUGAAGAUAGAUAUCGCUGACUUCAGUCCGCUCGUUGGCCAUGUUGGGGUGCGAAGCAAUGCUUUAUUCGGCUACUAAGAAUGCAAUUCAUUUGAAUAUUUGCGCCAUAUAACUGCUAAAAAGUUACGGAUAAAAAACCAUCAGAAUCACCUAAAAGGAACCAUUGAAAUGAGCCUGGAAAUUCUUAGGGGAGGAAAGCAUGACUGGGAAUGGAAUGCCCCAAGAGUAAGUGCUUCAUUUUCAGAAAUUUGCCUCCUUUCCGUUAAUCAAGCAUGAGAUUUCAAUGUAAUACGAACACAGCUUAUGAACUUAAGCCUGCGACCCACGUUGCGUCAUCCCUUUUGAUUGUAACGAUGAUGAUAAGCUGCAUGGCAGAGAUGUUGCGAAAGAACCAUGGUUUCCUUUCAAAUGACACAUUCAAUGACUGAUUGUGACCCAUGGGCCAUGGCCAUCAAAAUCUGGACCAUAUGGGAUGGGAUAGAACUAUAGAAGGAUAGAUAUUCCUUUUCAUAAAGAUUGUGUAACUCCCAUGCAUGGUUCAGAUUUUGAUGGCCUCGAACCAACAAGCGUUCCUUCCUUCCCAAAAAAAAAAAACCAACAAGCCUUGAGCCCUUGACUAACACAAGCCCUCCCCACGUAAGUUUGUUUGAACAUUUUGUUUCAGAAUCGUAAAGACCAGAACUUAUCCAUGUGUUUCUAAAAAAAAGAACUUAAAAUGGCCCACCGAUCGGGGAAGACGAUGACCCUGGCUGGUACUGACUGCCGCACUGAUGGGAGGAUCAGUAAAAUCGUACGUUUUGGCCAGCAAGUCAUAUGCACUCUCGGUAGGUCUAAGCAUAUAUCCACGCGGAUAUUGCGUGUGAUUGAGCUAGCUGGAUCAUACCCGUGCACCAAUUAGUUGUCUUUAGUUUCGUCCAGUGCUUACACAGUAACAAAAGAAGGUGAAGCUCACAUGCAUGUAUGUGAUCUGUCCUGAAUUUGUAGCUUGGAAGGAUUCACGUGGACAGAAUGCCAUGUCCCACAUGUCUCCAGUUUCCACACGUUUCACGAAAUAUCAAUGCAUAUAUAGAAAAGAACAUUAAUUAGUUACUUUCUCCAAUACAUAAAAAAGUAUCGUACAUUUUAUACUAUGUUAAGAUAAAUUUUAUACUAAGUGGACGACAUUUUCUAUGUAUCGGAGGGAGUACUUAUCCGUUGAUAGGAAGCGGGUCAGUAUAUAUAGUGUCCGUUCGAUAUCAAAAGUAUCUUAGGAGUACCAAUCCAUUUGGCAUUAUACGCUCCUGAAAUUACAUGCGUGCCACUUUCACGCCCGGGAGUACGUGAGUUUGACAAUAUAUAACUUAUUUUUCGGUCGAAGGGAGUAACACCAUGUAUACCAUGCACAAUGCACAUGGAUCAUACAAUGCAUUAUCUGAUGAUGAUUUGUCCGGCCGUUUGUUGCAGACAUGUUCUGGCUAGUACUACUACUCCCUAAAAAGCAGAGUAAUAUGGCUGUCAACAAAAAGAAACAGAGGAGGGUAGAGCAGGAUGUUCUUAUCUAGUGUUUUUUCUUGAUAUCGAUGUGUGCGUCCCCGGGCUCAUACUUUUUUUUCUUUUAACUUACCGAGCUCCUAGGAUAAUCACUUGAUCAGCUGCUCAGCGUGCAUUGCGCGAUGUGCUGUCCUCGCAUGUUUGGCACGAAGAUUUAGGGCCCAACAUAUCAUAUCUGGGUUAUAUUAUAAAGGAAAAUCGCCCGCAAAAAAAUAUUAUAAAGGAAAACGAUUUCGUUAAAUCCUUUUUUACUCUCUUGUACGUCGUGCAAGGUGCAACCUUUGCCACACAUGGUUCUGCAGAAUGUUUUUUGAGAUCCAGGACCAGAGCGGCACCUUUGCCACAUGAAUUACUCGGUUCAGAAUUUUUGCGAAUUCCAAGACCACAGAGCCGACACCGCAAGAUCUACAAAAUCAGAACGCAUGCCACACGUGCGUACAAUGUGACAAGAAAGGCACAUGCAAUGCAGGUUUGAGAGGUGCAUAGCCAAAGGUGAAAACAAAAACGAUGGUUAGGUAGUUUAGCUCGGCCACCUGUUAUGAUAGACUACCUAAAUAACUCCAGUCCGUAGCAAAAAAAUAACCUCACCACGUUCGGUUGUUCUCCUGAUUGGCUGAUUAGCUUUAUAAUUAGCCCGUCGCUCCUUCUAGAUCGACAGCUAGCGCAUGCGACAUUGGUAAAAGGCUAUCGAUGAUGGGAGUUUUAGCCGAAAAUAUAGACUGGACUACUGGAGCAGGAGUACUUACUUCGCAGCAGCUCAGGCUAAGAUGGACCUGAGCGUGGCAAGUGGCAGCCAUGUGGAUCGUGAAUUCGGGUUACACAUGCUACCGACACUGCGGACUAUAACAUCUAACUUAUCAUGACUUCUCUUUCCCGUCUCCUCCUUUUUUGUAAGGACUUGUUGUUUUCAUUAAGCAAUAAUGGAAAAGGGGUGUAUCCCGGUUUAAAAAUAUAAUUAACUUAUCACGCUGCUAUCCCCCACCGGCCAGUCGAUUGAAGUUAUACUGGAAGUUUAUCCGAAAAAAAAAAGUUAUACUGGAAGUUAUUGAUCAGUUCUUGGACGGUUAUGAUAGCUUGCUGUCAGACUAUUAAUUGACUUUUCAGCUAAUCGAAAGUCGCCCAGCUGUAUAUCUCUUAUCCUGCCACAUCCUGGUUAUCUAAUUAAGUUGAAUAUAAACAGUGGAUGCAUCACACAUGUAAACGUGCUGGACCAAGCAUAUAUAUUAGUGAGAAGCCCCGAACUAUCUUUGCUUUGUUUAGUUGAAACUUUGUCUAGGACUCUGCUCUUGAAAUAUUCCUUUUUCCAGGUUCAACACGCGCAAUGCAAAAUCGGAAUGGACAAUGUCGCACCAACUGAAUAUGCACAGAAGUUUUUUAACAGCAAACUGAAAUGUUCAAUAAUUUGACCAAAAGGAAAGGUUUCUCUCUCUUGCGCGCACGGUAUAUGUGUACCAGUGUACGUAAUCGCAUACUUAGACGGUUGGCAUUUGACCAAUCUAUUUAAUUUAAGAGUAAAAUAUACUCCACUUUCUCUGUAUGGAUGCAGAUACGGCACACGCAUGUACUACCUCCGUUCCUAAAUACUUGUUGUUGUUUUAGUGCAACUUGCACUAAAACAGCGACUGCACUAAAACAUUGACAAAUAUUUAGAAACGGAAGGGUAAGAUAAUUCCGCAAGUUAACAAGUUGGGCUGCUCUGCUAUAUAUUGGUUGAUAAGUUAUGCACAUGUAUGAUGUACAUACGCGAAGCACGUCCGUACGCAAGUCUUUUAAUUAGUCUAAGAUAGUCUGUAUCCUACGUGUCAUGAUCGAUACAUGUCGAAUUCAUUAGUGUGGGAAGUAACGGGCCGGGGAAUUGAAGACCAGAAUUUUUUUCUCAUCAGGAAUCAGUCGACGGGCCGACCUUGCCACGGAUUAAUUUUAAUGAUUAUGAUUCUUCUUGCUUAAGUAAAUAAAUCACGCACUAUAUGGUUCCAGUACGGCUCAUGUAACGUACUACUUCCCAUCGUACUUCCAUGGACCAUGGUGAUGACUGACGAGGCAUGCACGCAAGUGGAAUGCGACACAUUCGAUGCCACGUAAAUUUUAUAUAGUUCAUGUAUAUCAUCAGGUCGAUUAGUCUUUUCCCUCGCACACAUAAAUUAAUAGUGGAUUUAUUAACAGAUCGGCAAGCGGUCCUCCGGUUAUCUCUGAUUUCUCGACCCAUUGCCGCGAAGAUCGAGCUCCGGCCGGCCGGAUGACAAGCAAGGUGCAAACGGAAGUCCCGCUUAUAUUUCAAUUUUCAUAUCUUCUAUUCAAAUUCUGAAUAAAAUUUUGAAUAAUUUUUUUGAAAAAUGAACUAGAAGCGAGACUUUCACGGGAUCCCGUUUGCAUUUAACAAGUGAGUCCACAGAAAACAUGCAUGGCGCACGAGCAAGAGCAAAGACACGGCGACAAUCGGUCCAUUCGUCGUUCUCUGUGUCCCGUGUUGAUUCUUCCUCCGGAACCUUCUUCUUCUCUGCGCGCGUCUGCGCCUGAUAAGCCUGGCAGAUAUACAGGAUGAGGACGCUGUUUUUCAUGUGCUGGAAACACUCUAAAUUUUUCUUGUCUGGGCCAGGCAAGUGUCUGGCCAAAAAGCUUCCGAUCAAUUCAGCGGCCAGCAGCGCACGUCCGGUCGAAUAUUAUCUUUUUCACAUCUUCGCCCCUGGGAAGAAGACUUUCGUUUGGGCGGCGCCAAGACACGGACCCGCGGGCGCGGCGUCCCUGCGCAGGAGGCUGUGCAGUGUGCAGCACGAGAAAUUCACGGAGGCGAGCACGCAAUCACGCAAAGGCAGCGACCGGCUUGCACGUGGGGCCGGCGUCAGGAUCGGCGCUGGGUCCCACAGCCUUAACCCAGUUCUUCCGGGUGGUCCCCGUCUCCCUUGUAAACCUUGUGGCCAGCAAAAUCUCCCGGUAUUAAUCUACUCGUAUAGAGAUUAGACGUUUAAUGAGGAGACGGCGAGAGAUGAGAUAUUGCGCUCGCGCGGGGAGCGAGACUGUGAGGUGAGAGACAGGUCAGCGUCGCCGAGCUGGCGCCUUCCGAGUGGGCCGUCUCCCCGUAUGCAUGAUUGGGAGGGGGUCCAUCAUUCAGCUGAGCUGGGAGGAGGUGGUUUCCGGGGCCGGUUCCGCCCGGGGGAGGGAGGGAGGCCGAAUCGCCGGGCUACGUGGUUUUUAUACCUUGUCCUGCCCGGCGGCCGGUCAUCACCCGGCAAUCAGCCACGGCGGAUCGUUUUGUCCGUUAUUGCCGUUGCGGAAACCAUUCCCCGUUUCGUCCAUCAAGGUUGCCCAUGCCGGGAGACCAUGUUAGGUCGCUGCGUCCCAGCUUGUGCUUGUUUUCUUCCCAUCCCACACGCGCGGUGAAUGAAUGUACGAGAGUGAGUGUAAUUAGAUCCGGCAAAUUUGGUGGCUGACGACCCAUCUGUCCCCACUGUGAAAGUGUGGGGAGGCAAUUAGUAACCGGCCACCAGUUGGAGAGAUUAAUCCGUGACUGCAAAGUCCGAACCAUCCACACGACUAUUCCUACCAAGAAAAAGUUCUACACAAGCAGGAAGGAAAAGCAACCAGAAAUUCUCGGAUCCAGUCAUCCAGAGGGCCGUGGUGGGGGCAGGCAACGACAAUGCCGCUCCGUGUCCGUUUCUCUACGGCUUUUGCGGUGCCCGGAAGCGAACUGAUCGCGCCACCGCGUGCGCGGCCGAUCGGGGGAGCGGCGGGUCCCGGUGGCAAAGCAUCGAGCAAACACAAGGCGAAGCCGGGCCACAUGCGCGUCCGAAUAAUUGAGCCAGUGGAUAGGGCCCCGGGAUCCGCCGCCCUCGACUGCUACAGCCUACGUACGGGGCACGUGCGCGGUUACCUGCACCAAGUCACCGACCGCGGUAAUUUUUCUGCAUGCGUUUCAUCUUUCACUCAUGUCAAAAUGCAUAUGCUAGUCGUUAACACCGGCUUUACUGUCUGGAUCAAUGCAUACGGAGUGCAUCCGUAGGGACAUAAUCUGGUGGGGAAAGUGGCACCGAGCCCUGUUCUAUUGUGGACAGAAAGAUGAGUGCUGGUUCAUACCGUUUCAAAACUUCCGUUAAUCCGGCGCUUUAAUCACGACCGCAAUCUUGGAAUCGUUUCUCAGAAUAUAAAUUUGUUGCACGUGCAAGCGUGCGACACGGCGUGGCCGGUUAAUUAGCUUUCUUUUGGCGAGCAAAUGUUUGACGUGAAUGGCUCUAAACAAACAAGGACGACGCCGACGCGCGGACGUACGUGAACAUGCAGCCCUCGAUAUGGCACGAGCAAAAAAAUAAUCAACGCGGGGCCUGAUAAUCAUGAAAGUAUUAAUUAUUCAAACGGGAAAAAAAAAUACGAAUCUCCUUCAACGUCUAUGAUCCUCCUUUUCUGUUGCUAUAAACGUGAUGCGAGGUCCCAAGUGCAUCAUAACGCAGAAUAUAAUAUACUAACACGAAUUCCUCCGAUUGUUUGAUCCGAUCACGCUUCUGUGUUGUUGUUAGCCGGUCCGACGUGGCCACACGGACCCACACACUUCUCCGUACCUUGCUUGCCAGAAUAGAAAAACCGAGUAUCAGACCGCAACGACUAGACAAUUAGAUACUCCACUGACCAUGUGAAGUGAUCGCUCUUGCGUAUCGAUGCCUACUCUUAGGAUAAGCACUGUUAAGCAGAAGUAGUUGCGGACUUGAGGUUCCCCUCGGAGCUGGAGAUCCUUUUAAGAUCCCAAUCCUCUCUCCGGAAGCCAUGGGCAUCCCACCCCAAUGAUCAAAACAAAACACAUAUCCAACGACAAUAAAAAAAGGUCGAUGUGCGAGUAAAACAAAUCGGCAACCACGUACAACCCAGCAAGUGGCAGCACUUGCACCGUAAUGUGCACGUCGUACAAUCCAAAGCCCGGACUUUUUUACGCCGUUUUGGUCUUAUCCGGUAAACCUUUUCCUCUGGCGCGCGGUAAUCCGUAGCUACGUCAUCUGCCGUCGAGGCCCGUAUCUACCUAUAUUCCCCAGACGGUAAUUAAAUGGUUGUGCACUUAUCGGAAUCAGUAUGGGCGUGGGAAAUUUUCGUGAACCGACCGGCGAUGUCAAGAGUGGUUCCUUAGGGCCACUCGAGAAAAAAAGAAAAAGUGGUUCCUUAGGGCAUGUACAAAUGUACAGACACACAUCAAUCUAUACUCUCUCCGUCUCAUAUUAAGUGACUCAAAUUUUUCCGAAUAUGAAUGUAUCUAUGCUUAAAAUCCGUCUAGAUACAUGUAAAAGAAAAGUCACUUAAUAUUGGAUGGAGGGAGUACUAUUUUGCAUGUGAUUUACACACAACAUAAAAGAUAGUAUGUACAAUUGUCUGUCUGUAAGUUGUUCAAUGAAAUCUCUAGUACAAAAUAUAGACGACAUGCAUACAAUGGGAAAUAGUCUGUCUAUAAGCUGCCUAUAAGAUUGUCUGUUAAACUACGGACAUCAUCCUCUCUCCCUUAGAGCACCUCCAAUAGGUUACAAAUCACUCACCCACAAAAGAAAAUGAGAUACGAAUCAUCUAUUACUUGAUGCGGUUUUCUCUUUCCUCAAGUGUCAUUCGCUGUUAACUAUCUGGUUGUGAACUUUUGGAAAAGAUACAUGGAUGCGAUGAACCAUGAGGCGUCUGUGGCUGAGGUGGUGACCACCAUGCUCCCGAAUAUUGCCUUCAGGAGGAAUAUAAUUAGGGGCAAAAGUAAUUGUCUGGGAGGAGUUGUGUGCCAAACUUGCUUCGGUUCAACUUCUAGACCAACUAGAUUCGUUUUUCUGGGUGUUGUCUUCUUCGGGGUCGUACUCUGUGAAAUUAUUUUAUCAUUUUUUAUUAAUAUUGAUUGUCAGCUCCAUCAUAAGAUUAUAGGAAGUUUAAAUCUUCUGAUUGGCUUCUUUGUUGCGAACUCACGGGGUUAUGUUGACUCAGGAUAAUUUAGUGAAAAAAUAGGUAGGGUUGCAAAAAUAUUGUAUUUUGUGAUCAAAAUGAAAAUAUUCAUCACUUAUUUCUUGAGUGUCGUACUUUGACUCACUUAGUGCGGAGAGUUAUCCUUUUUACUUUUAGUCUCUCGCCUCCCACUUGCGUUACGAAUUUGUUUGGUCAUUGGCUUGGUGGGAUGGAGAAGUCUCUCAAAUCGCUCAUUCUUGUUAGGUCUUGUGUGAUUUGUUGGUCCAUCGGAAUUGUCAGAAUGAUUUAGUUUUUAACAAAAAGGAAACAUUCCAAUUUUUUGCAGGUGGUCUGUUGGGCGACCUACUGGCUCCGUUUUUUGUUCCCCACUGCUUCCGAUGGUGGCUAAGGAAUUUAUGAAAUCUGGGUGCAGCCAUAUGGAAACGGUAGCACAGAUGUUCUACAACCAGUUUGAGCGGCGCGUAGAUCGCAGGUUGGAUAUUGGAUGGAUUUUUUUUAGCCUUUUUGUGUUAUAUUUUGAGCUAUUUGAGAUGUAAUUGAGAAAGAUGAUACGGAUAUUAUGGAUAUGUGCAUCGAUAGUUCAGAGGCCGGGGGUAUUCCCUCCUUAAAAAAAAUGUUAGGCGAACGAUUGAAAGUAGAAAGAAGAAAAGUGACCGGUUUCAUCUAAAAGAAACGGUUAUAAAAAAAGUUAGAGAUGUAGAGGAGUAUGGAAAGUGGAUGCUGAGAAUUUUUUUUUGCUUUUAAGAAGUUUUUAAUUCUAAAAAGAAAUAAUAGGUAGAGAAGACAUGGAAGCAAAAAUAACGACUAUAUAAACUGCUUGCAAGAUUGCUCUCCAUUUUCGGAAGGACUCGCACAUAUAUGACUACACUCUUCACUUACAACGUGUUGGAUAGAAAAAAAAGGAAACAUGAGUUUCCAAGAAAAAUCAGAAAAAAGAAAUCUCUGAUAUAGUAUCGAGGACAUAUCUCUACUCGGUGAUAUUCUUUUUCGGAAAGUAGAUUUCCAGCCUCUACUUGGUGAAUGUUUAAUUAAAAAUUCGUGGAAUCCAUGCGCUCUAAAAGGAAAGGAGUUACCACUCACCUUAAGAAUAUCUCCAUAUCUAAGCAAGAGUUGCAUCUCCUAAUCUUAUAUGUUUGUCUCUUGUUAACUUCCAAAUCUUCUAUUCGUGUGACUGGUCGUGUCUUGUAUGGCAACAACUCAAAUAACAUUGCCAAUUCAAAGCAGGACACCCACAGAGGAGAAUAGGAAACAAGUAUAAGUAAAGGAAACAAGUCUAAUUCCAUUCGCUGGAGGCACAAAAAAGGGGUGGGCAUAGCGUUUAGGCCUUUAGGGGUUCGGACCUCCCCUGUCGAAUUUUCCUAUUCUUUAUAGUCCUUCACGAGUUCUUUGCGUGUGCGUUUACUCGUUUCGUUGCCCGCUUGGUUACAUCUCACGGGAGACGGAACCGCGCGAGCACAAGAGAAACAGAGAGGAAGGCAGAGCAACGCAACAGAGGAGGGCGGGGAGCAGGACAGGAGAGGGGGCGAGCUAUAAGUAGAACACAACCACCUCUUCUCUCCGCCUACCCGCCUCAUCCAUUCUGAUCCAAAUCCCGACCCCAACGCCUUCGGCAGAAAGGGAGCAGUCAAAUCCCAAACCCAAUUCCAACGCCUUCGGCAGAAAAGGCAGCAGCAGCAGUAGUAGUCGUCGUCUUGCGGAUACGGUAGUGCGGGUCGCGGCGCGAUUAAAGCCGGCUCCGUUCGGCUUCGAUUCGGCGGGGAGGCGUUUGUGAAUGGUGAACGGCGAAGAGGAGUGCACGCGGGCGUCGCUGCUGGGGAGGUAUGAGAUCGGGCGGACCCUCGGGGAGGGCAACUUCGGCAAGGUCAAGUACGCGCGCCACCUCGCCACCGGCGCCCACUUCGCUGUCAAGAUCCUCGACCGCAACAAGAUCCUCUCCCUCCGCUUCGACGACCAGGUACUGCUAAUCCCACCGCCUGGCCUGCUCGCCAAUCGGGAGCCUUCCCUGCUCCGUUUCCACCGAUUUCGCCUUUCAGUUGCCGUUUGCUGACCAGUUUGCGUGUGUGCCGAUGCUUUGGUCGCCAGAUAAGGAGGGAGAUUGGGACAUUGAAGCUGCUCAAGCACCCCAACGUCGUCCGCUUACAUGAGGUGCGUGCUUUCUUCCCGCUGCUCAGCCGAAUCUACGUUUGCUGCCUUUUUCCUUCCUGAUUUUGCUUCUUCUCUUGUCGCGAAAUUCAGUGGGGGGGGGGGGGGGGCUUCCGUGGUCUGGAAGGAAAGGGGCAUUUUGGCUUGCACUCAGCACUAGGAUUUAAGGUUGGUGUUUACGAGAGGCGUUGUGAUGUGAGGGGAUUAGCCGAUUGGGGAGUAGUUUUAACCGCAAAGCUUGGCUGCCUUUCGAGCUCCUGUGCACGCGACGCAAAGGAUCAGAACCACCGCGCACGGGAACGGCACCUCGCCGGCGUUCCUUAUUCGCUAGCUCUACUAUAGACGCGGUCUAUACACCUAUGCCAAGAUUCGUGCCGUCCAUACCCGGCCUGUUUGGGAAACUAAUAAAUGUUUACAGACAUGCUGUACAAAUAAAUGGUGUAGUUUGUCAAAAUUAGAAACUUAUCUGGAAUUGUAAAAAAAUCGAUUUUCCAAAUACAAAAGACGAAACAAAUCCUCAUAUUCCGGAAAUAGUAGCACGAGAAUAUAAAUGACCCGAAACGUCCACGUCACCGGAUGCCGCGAGCCGACGGCCUGGAUGGAAGGAAGCAUGGAGAGCUGGGCCCUUCUACAGAAGCAUGAAGAAGCCGGCCCAUCCCUGGCCCAAGGCCUCGUGAAGGCGUGAAGCAGGACGAAUGGUUUGCCUAUCGAGGCAUGUGGUUGGUUCCCCCAAGUGGUCCCGUGCGCCUGACUGCUCGCCGGUGCUGGACCCAGACAAGACCACCGCGUCGGUCUCACCACGUCGCCCUCCGGGUAAUCUCUACGGAGACGGAGAUGUGAUGUCCCGUGCGCCGGGUGCACCAAGUCACCCGCCGACCGCCGUGUCCCGUCCCGUGUGAGCACGGUAAACCGGGAGAAGGCCUAAUCAUGUGUGCCCUUGCAAUUUGGGCCCCACACACGUGUUCUGGAGGGAGACCCGCGGUACGAUCCCUGGGCGCUCCAACUCUGCGUGUCACCCUGUGGCCUUGAAACUUUGCUCUCCCUCCUUCUCUCUCUCACUCUGCCGAGAUGAGAUGAUGGCGAGCUGAAUAGCAUGGUGAUCGAGCUGAAGCAUCAUCACCUUCGAACCUAACGAUGCCUUUUUGGUUCCUCUCACACAAUUGUGUGUCCGAAAUCAUGAGGCUCGCAACGCUCGUGCACAUAAACGUAGUGUACUGCUCAUGUUCACUUCUCAAAAAUCAAAAUCAGUUUUUUCUUUGACAAACCAAGGAAUCAUUACUUAUUUGGCAGAUACGAAAUUACGUAGACGUUGCCUUUGUCCGAUUCAGAAUGUAUUUACGGGCAACUAUUUCUUUCAAAAUCAUAAUUAUGGGAAAGUGUGUUAAUUCUCAAAAGUUUUCUUAGGACAAUAUCUUUUGUUAUCUAUGUGCAAUUGAAAAGAAAGACA
RNAcentral lists this long non-coding RNA (15022 nucleotides) under Brachypodium distachyon (stiff brome). Its description in RNAcentral is "long non-coding RNA (BDIS_LNC001715)". Lineage: Eukaryota; Viridiplantae; Streptophyta; Magnoliopsida; Poales; Poaceae. The record is from RNAcentral.